GACGAACGCUGGCGGCGUGCUUAACACAUGCAAGUCGAACGGAAAGGCCCUGCUUUUGUGGGGUGCUCGAGUGGCGAACGGGUGAGUAACACGUGAGUAACCUGCCCUUGACUUUGGGAUAACUUCAGGAAACUGGGUCUAAUACCGGAUAGGAGCUCCUGCUGCAUGGUGGUGGUUGGAAAGUUUCGGCGGUUGGUGAUGGACUCGCGGCUUAUCAGCUUGUUGGUGGGGUAGUGGCUUACCAAGGCUUUGACGGGUAGCCGGCCUGAGAGGGUGACCGGCCACAUUGGGACUGAGAUACGGCCCAGACUCCUACGGGAGGCAGCAGUGGGGAAUAUUGCACAAUGGGCGGAAGCCUGAUGCAGCAACGCCGCGUGCGGGAUGACGGCCUUCGGGUUGUAAACCGCUUUCGCCUGUGACGAAGCGUGAGUGACGGUAAUGGGUAAAGAAGCACCGGCUAACUACGUG
This 468-nucleotide ribosomal RNA is filed under the name uncultured bacterium. RNAcentral's name for it is "partial 16S ribosomal RNA". It matches the Rfam family "Bacterial small subunit ribosomal RNA", at positions 28 to 507 of the family's 1533-position model. The record is from RNAcentral.